AAAAGGGGGAGAGAAUCAGAGUAGGGGGAGGGAUGUGGGGAAGAGGGAGAGGGAUGGGAGAGCAGUGAUAGGGGAUGGAAAAUGGCAGUUUCGUUAAGUUUGUAAUGGAAAAUGGUAGCUCCGUUACGUCUGUAACGAAAAAUUGUUAGUGAUCAUUGUCUUGUUAUUUUUCGAAAGUUGAGUGACUGAAUUGAAACCUGAGUGACUGUUG
This 211-nucleotide long non-coding RNA is filed under the name Gossypium raimondii (Peruvian cotton). Its description in RNAcentral is "long non-coding RNA (GRAI_LNC005545)". Lineage: Eukaryota; Viridiplantae; Streptophyta; Magnoliopsida; Malvales; Malvaceae. The record is from RNAcentral.